GCAGCUGGAAACAGUAGCCAGGCGACUCUAAACCAUCUCGGCCUCAUGCAAGUCAGCGCGCCUAGCUGGCGACACUUUCGAAUUGACGGGGAACCCCUAAGAGCCCUUCACACCAAACCAGCGCGGGAAACCCGCUGGCGGCCCGUGGGAAACCACGGGGUACGGUAACAGAGGAAGGGAUGACUCGGGGCCGCGAGGCACCGACGAAAUGGGCGAUCCGCAGCGAAGCCCCUGCCGUUCGCGGCGGCCUCGGCCGUCCGACGUGGGGAACGUUCACAGACUAAGUGGAAGUGGGUGGGGCGUCGGCCCUGCUUAAGAUAUAGUCGGGCCCGGCUGGAAACAGUCGGGGAUCGUCAGCCGUUCCGUAGGUGAACCUGCGGAAGGAUCAUUACACGAAAAAGGCCCUCGCCGGUCUUUCAACCUUGCCUAUGGUACCCGUUUGUCGUUCCCUCGGUGGGCCCCUCGCGGCCCGCCGGCGGGAAGAUCCCGAAAACCUGUUGCAAUAAGCAUACAAAUCUAUCUGAUCAUGAACCCAAUCGUUACAACUUUCAACAAUGGAUCUCUUGGUUCUGGCAUCGAUGAAGAACGCAGCGAAAUGCGAUAAGUAGUGUGAAUUGCAGAAUUCAGUGAAUCAUCGAAUCUUUGAACGCACAUUGCGCCCCUUGGUAUUCCAUGGGGCAUGCCUGUUCGAGCGUCAUUCGCACCCUCAAGCUCUGCUUGGUGUUGGGCGUCUGUCCCGCGGAACGCGCGGACUCGCCCCAAAGGCAUUGGCAGCGGUCCCCGCCGGGGUUCCCCAACAGCGCAGCACUGUUCGCGCACCCGGGGACCGGCGCGGGUCCAGCGUCCACGAAGCCCGAUUGCAUCGCAACCUUGAC
RNAcentral lists this ribosomal RNA (875 nucleotides) under fungal sp. ARIZ L236. RNAcentral's name for it is "eukaryotic LSU rRNA". The stretch from base 544 to 697 matches the Rfam family "5.8S ribosomal RNA". Lineage: Eukaryota; Fungi. The record is from RNAcentral.